AGUCGCUGGCGGGCCGUCUCUCCUGAUAGGGGGGAUGUUGCUAAUUCCUGCGACUGUGUUAGUGUCCGGGAAAACCCCGCCUUCGGGCGGGGUUUUUGCUUUUUU
Molecule: non-coding RNA, 105 nt
Organism: Pseudomonas aeruginosa PAO1
Lineage: Bacteria; Pseudomonadati; Pseudomonadota; Gammaproteobacteria; Pseudomonadales; Pseudomonadaceae
Source: Rfam